CCUACGGGAGGCAGCAGUGAGGAAUAUUGGUCAAUGGGCGGAAGCCUGAACCAGCCAAGCCGCGUGAGGGAAGAAGGUACAGCGUAUCGUAAACCUCUUUUAUCAGGGAACAAAGGCGGGGACUAGUCCCCGGAUGAGGGUACCUGAAGAAAAAGCAUCGGCUAACUCCGUGCCAGCAGCCGCGGUAAUCCGGAGGAUGCGGAGGUUAUCCGGAUUUAUUGGGUGUAAGGGGUGCGCAGGCGGCCUGUUAAGUGAGCGGUAAAAGGGCGGGGCCAAACCCCGGCGAGCCGUUGAAACUGGCGGACUGGAGUUGGAGAGAGGUAAGCGGAAUGCGCGGUGUAGCGGUGAAAUGCUUAGAUAUCGCGCAGAACCCCGAUUGCGAAGGCAGCGUACCGGCUCCACACUGACGCUGAGGCACGAAAGCGUGGGUAUCGAACAGGAUUAGAUACCCUGGUAGUC
This 459-nucleotide ribosomal RNA is filed under the name uncultured bacterium. RNAcentral's name for it is "partial 16S ribosomal RNA". It matches the Rfam family "Bacterial small subunit ribosomal RNA", at positions 338 to 795 of the family's 1533-position model. The record is from RNAcentral.